This 279-nucleotide ribosomal RNA is filed under the name uncultured bacterium. RNAcentral describes it as "partial 16S ribosomal RNA". It matches the Rfam family "Bacterial small subunit ribosomal RNA", at positions 506 to 784 of the family's 1533-position model. The record is from RNAcentral.
UGCCAGCAGCCGCGGUAAUACGGAGGGAGCUAGCGUUGUUCGGAAUUACUGGGCGUAAAGCGUGCGUAGGCGGAUCGACAAGUUGGGGGUGAAAUCCCGGGGCUUAACCCCGGAACUGCCCUCAAAACUGUCGAUCUAGAGACCGGGAGAGGUAAGCGGAAUUCCUAGUGUAGAGGUGAAAUUCGUAGAUAUCUGGAAGAACACCAGAGGCGAAGGCGGUCUCUUGGUCCGAAACUGACGCUGAGGCGCGAAAGCGUGGGGAGCAAACAGGAUUAGAUA